RNAcentral lists this ribosomal RNA (147 nucleotides) under Lactobacillus sp. NGRI 0305. Its description in RNAcentral is "partial 23S rRNA". The stretch from base 20 to 147 matches the Rfam family "Bacterial large subunit ribosomal RNA", at positions 1 to 128 of the family's 2925-position model. The record is from RNAcentral. Lineage: Bacteria; Bacillati; Bacillota; Bacilli; Lactobacillales; Lactobacillaceae.
CUUUACCGUAGUAAAGAUAGGUUAAGUUAGGAAGGGCGCAUGGUGAAUGCCUUGGUACUAGGAGCCGAUGAAGGACGGGACUAACACCGAUAUGCCUCGGGGAGCUGUAAGUAAGCUUUGAUCCGGGGAUUUCCGAAUGGGGGAACC